CUACGGGGUGCACCAGUGGGGAAUAUUGCACAAUGGGCGCAAGCCUGAUGCAGCCAUGCCGCGUGUAUGAAGAAGGCCUUCGGGUUGUAAAGUACUUUCAGCGGGGAGGAAGGGAGUAAAGUUAAUACCUUUGCUCAUUGACGUUACCCGCAGAAGAAGCACCGGCUAAGUCCGUGCCAGCAGCCGCGGUAAUACGGAGGGUGCAAGCGUUAAUCGGAAUUACUGGGCGUAAAGCGCACGCAGGCGGUUUGUUAAGUCAGAUGUGAAAUCCCCGGGCUCAACCUGGGAACUGCAUCUGAUACUGGCAAGCUUGAGUCUCGUAGAGGGGGGUAGAAUUCCAGGUGUAGCGGUGAAAUGCGUAGAGAUCUGGAGGAAUACCGGUGGCGAAGGCGGCCCCCUGGACGAAGACUGACGCUCAGGUGCGAAAGCGUGGGGAGCAAACAGGAUUAGAUACCCGCGUAGUC
RNAcentral lists this ribosomal RNA (464 nucleotides) under uncultured bacterium. RNAcentral describes it as "partial 16S ribosomal RNA". It matches the Rfam family "Bacterial small subunit ribosomal RNA", at positions 339 to 795 of the family's 1533-position model. The record is from RNAcentral.